RNAcentral lists this ribosomal RNA (1472 nucleotides) under Helicobacter sp. Wee Tee. Its description in RNAcentral is "bacterial SSU rRNA". It matches the Rfam family "Bacterial small subunit ribosomal RNA". Lineage: Bacteria; Pseudomonadati; Campylobacterota; Epsilonproteobacteria; Campylobacterales; Helicobacteraceae. The record is from RNAcentral.
UGGCUCAGAGUGAACGCUGGCGGCGUUCCUAAUACAUGCAAGUCGAACGAUGAAGUCUCUAGCUUGCUAGAGAUGGAUUAGUGGCGCACGGGUGAGUAAUGCAUAGAUAACAUGCCCUUUAGUCUAGGAUAGCCACUGGAAACGGUGAUUAAUACUGGAUACUUCUUACGAGAGAAAGGGACUCGCUAAAGGAUUGGUCUAUGUCCUAUCAGCUUGUUGGUGAGGUAAUGGCUCACCAAGGCUAUGACGGGUAUCCGGCCUGAGAGGGUGAACGGACACACUGGAACUGAGACACGGUCCAGACUCCUACGGGAGGCAGCAGUAGGGAAUAUUGCUCAAUGGGGGAAACCCUGAAGCAGCAACGCCGCGUGGAGGAUGAAGGUUUUCGGAUUGUAAACUCCUUUUGUGAGAGAAGAUAAUGACGGUAUCUCGCGAAUAAGCACCGGCUAACUCCGUGCCAGCAGCCGCGGUAAUACGGAGGGUGCAAGCGUUACUCGGAAUCACUGGGCGUAAAGAGUGCGCAGGCGGGGUAGCAAGUCAGAUGUGAAAUGCUAUGGCUUAACCAUAGAACUGCAUUUGAAACUGCUACUCUAGAGUGUGGGAGAGGUAGGUGGAAUUCUUGGUGUAGGGGUAAAAUCCGUAGAGAUCAAGAGGAAUACUCAUUGCGAAGGCGACCUACUGGAACAUUACUGACGCUCAUGCACGAAAGCGUGGGGAGCAAACAGGAUUAGAUACCCUGGUAGUCCACGCCCUAAACGAUGAAUGCUAGUUGUUGCCCUGCUUGUCAGGGCAGUAAUGCAGCUAACGCAUUAAGCAUUCCGCCUGGGGAGUACGGUCGCAAGAUUAAAACUCAAAGGAAUAGACGGGGACCCGCACAAGCGGUGGAGCAUGUGGUUUAAUUCGAAGAUACGCGAAGAACCUUACCUAGGCUUGACAUUGAUAGAAUCUGCUAGAGAUAGCGGAGUGCCAUUUCGGUGGAGCUUGAAAACAGGUGCUGCACGGCUGUCGUCAGCUCGUGUCGUGAGAUGUUGGGUUAAGUCCNGCAACGAGCGCAACCCUNGUCCUUAGUUGCUAGCAGCUCGGCUGAGCACUCUAAGGAGACUGCCUUCGUAAGGAGGAGGAAGGUGAGGACGACGUCAAGUCAUCAUGGCCCUUACGCCUAGGGCUACACACGUGCUACAAUGGGAUACACAAAGAGAUGCAAUAUUGUGAAAUGGAGCCAAUCUCAAAAAUAUCUCUCAGUUCGGAUUGUAGUCUGCAACUCGACUACAUGAAGCUGGAAUCGCUAGUAAUCGCAAAUCAGCCAUGUUGCGGUGAAUACGUUCCCGGGUCUUGUACUCACCGCCCGUCACACCAUGGGAGUUGUAUUCGCCUUAAGCCGGAAUGCUAAAUUGGCUACCGUCCACGGCGGAUGCAGCGACUGGGGUGAAGUCGUAACAAGGUAACCGUAGGUGAACCUGCGGUUGGAUACC